UCUUGCAAGUUGCAAAGAGCUGCUCCCACUCACUCUCCACACUGCCAGACACACAGGCUUGGGAUACCGGCCAUCUGGGGUCAGAAAAGGAGGAGGAAAGAGCCGACACUCCGCUGUUGAACUCUUCACCGGAGAAGCUGCUCAGAAGUUCACUCCUGACACAAAAUGAAGAUUCCCUGUUUCCUUCCUUCCAACCAUAUUUUCACCAUCCCUCUCUCCCUUCCUCCUUCUGUCAAUAAACGUGAGCCCUUGACUAAGCACCAGCCCGGCGAUAUGGAUGGGAAGAGCAUGGUACCUGUCAUUAUGACCACAGGGAUAAGAAUCAACAGAAAUGAACGACAAAAUAAGGAGGGAUGUGUUCGGUGAUGGUGAAUGAUCAUGGCUAUAGGAAUCCACCGAUACCAAGUAUGAAGGAAAUAAUGCCAGAAAGAAGGCCAGUCCUUGCCAUCAGCAAUUUUCGCCUUCUGAGAAAGUCUGCAGCACUGCACUUUCAAGAUUGGUGACAAUUUCCAAGAAGGGUCAACAGUGGCCUGGCCCUUGGGAAGCACUACUAAAAAUUAAACGUAAUCUGGGGAUAAGGUCUUGCUCUUGAAAUCAUUUUUCCUUUUAGCAACCACUUAUGCCUUCCCACCUAUAAAGCUACUUUUUCUGACAGCUGAAACUUCCCACUGCCAGGCACUGAUGCCCACUGAUGAAGAAGACGGAUUCCUUGUUCUCAAGCUGCUUGAGAACUGGGACAAAGAAUUCUAGACUGGUGUGCUGGACUUCCCAACGUUAUUAUGGACAAAAGCAAACAUUUUUGCUGGCAUGACACUGUUUCCAUCCUAAAAAAAAAAAAAAAAAA
Mustela erminea (ermine) is the source of this 844-nucleotide long non-coding RNA. RefSeq lists it as uncharacterized. The record is from RefSeq and is a predicted model, not a curated record. The transcript is spliced from 2 exons. Lineage: Eukaryota; Metazoa; Chordata; Mammalia; Carnivora; Mustelidae.